This 110-nucleotide non-coding RNA is filed under the name Branchiibius sp. NY16-3462-2. RNAcentral's name for it is "SAM (S-adenosyl methionine) riboswitch aptamer". It matches the Rfam family "SAM (S-adenosyl methionine) riboswitch aptamer". Rfam says of the family: SAM-IV is a mRNA element that regulates gene expression via direct sensing of S-adenosylmethionine (SAM or AdoMet). SAM-IV riboswitches share conserved nucleotide positions with the previously described SAM-I riboswitches sequence analysis and molecular recognition experiments suggest that SAM-I and SAM-IV riboswitches share similar ligand binding sites, but have different scaffolds. Lineage: Bacteria; Bacillati; Actinomycetota; Actinomycetes; Micrococcales; Dermacoccaceae. RNAcentral also lists the same sequence under 1 other name. The record is from Rfam by way of RNAcentral.
GGUUAUGAGCGUCAGCGACAAGCCCUGGCUUGCUGACCGGCAACCCUCCGCGGCGGUGGGGUGCCCCAGGUGACGACCCGGUGAGCCAACCCGGCCCACAAGCGCAUGCC